CAGUAGCCACGGUAAAACAGAGGAUGCAAGCGUUAUCCGGAAUUACUGGGCGUAAAGCGCGCGCAGGCGGAUAGGUCAGUCUGUCUUAAAAGUUCGGGGCUUAACCCCGUGAUGGGAUGGAAACUGCCAAUCUAGAGUAUCGGAGAGGAAAGUGGAAUUCCUAGUGUAGCGGUGAAAUGCGUAGAUAUUAGGAAGAACACCAGUGGCGAAGGCGACUUUCUGGACGAAAACUGACGCUGAGGCGCGAAAGCCAGGGGAGCGAACGGGAUUAGAUACCCGUGUAGUCCCUGUCUCUUAUACA
RNAcentral lists this ribosomal RNA (301 nucleotides) under uncultured bacterium. RNAcentral's name for it is "partial 16S ribosomal RNA". It matches the Rfam family "Bacterial small subunit ribosomal RNA", at positions 509 to 809 of the family's 1533-position model. The record is from RNAcentral.